GACGAACGCUGGCGGCGUGCUUAACACAUGCAAGUCGAACGGUAAGGCCCUUCGGGGUACACGAGUGGCGAACGGGUGAGUAACACGUGGGUGAUCUAUCCUGCACUUCGGGCUAAGCCUGGGAAACUGGGUCUAAUACCGGAUAGGACCACUGCCUGCAUGGGUGGUGGAGGAAAGCUUUUGCGGUGUGGGAUGGGACCGCGGCCUAUCAGCUUGUUGGUGGGGUGAUGGCCUACCAAGGCGACGACGGGUAGCCGGCCUGAGAGGGUGACCGGCCACACGGGGACUGAGAUACGGCCCAGACUCCUACGGGAGGCAGCAGUGGGGAAUAUUGCACAAUGGGCGCAAGCCUGAUGCAGCGACGCCGCGUGAGGGAUGACGGCCUUCGGGUUGUAAACCUCUUUCAGUAGGGACGAAGCGCAAGUGACGGUACCUACAGAAGAAGGACCGGCCAACUACGUGCCAGCAGCCGCCGUAA
Molecule: ribosomal RNA, 478 nt
Filed under: uncultured bacterium
Lineage: Bacteria
Description: partial 16S ribosomal RNA
Rfam family: Bacterial small subunit ribosomal RNA
Source: RNAcentral